CAGGGGAAGGGCAUCUGUCAGCAGGGUCAUCCAGAAGGAGCAAGGAGCAAUAUGGGCAGUCAUCAACAUCAGAAGCAGCUUGGCAGCUUCAGAGAACCUCUUCUCACCAUACAGCCGGUGGAAUUCUCGACAUGUUGGCUUCAACAGCUCCCACAGACUUGUUUGGAGACUGUAUGGUGAACUGGACUGGUUAAAAAUGAUCUGCUGAAUAAAACAUGAAAAGGGAUUAUCCUUCAGCCAAGUUAGUUCCCUAGUUCACAGUGCGGUCCAUCACACAGCUGUACUGGAGCGAGUGAAAGGGUAGUGCAUAAGGUAGAGCUAUUGCCAAAAGAAAUGUUUAUCACAGCAAGGCUUAAGAGGACUGGAUUGUUAGAUAAAGUCAACUUGUUUAAUCUCUGCAUCUGACAGAGUGAAAAAGGGGUAGAAAAGAAAUAGUUAAGAUAUUGCAGAUGAAAGUACCAAACAAUGUUAUUUUCUACUCCAGAAGCAUGUGCUUGGUCUGAGGGAGAGACAGUCUCAGUCUGCCUGCAGGACCUUUUCAGGAUGGCCACCUUCUCCCCGUUCCUACAAUCCUACUGUAGCAGCAGCAUCUGAGAGCUUGACUCAAACUCACCUGUCUGAUAUUAGCGUAGCAAAAGCUGCAUCCUUAGCUCUGAUGCUCCAAGACAGGGCAGAGCCCAAGCGAUUGUUCCGCAGUGCUUUCAUGGCCAUGAUUUUACAGAUGCUACGAACUUAGGCGAAAGCCACAGGACAAGAGGGAAAGCAAGAAUCAGUUUCAGUAGUGCCAGUGUUAUCACUAUAAACGAAGAGAUUCAAGAAACAAUCACCUUGUUCAUGCAUCUGUCUCUGCUCGCAGAUCCUCAGCACUUUGAGGGCCUUUUGUUCUGUGUUAAGGGGUAUCCGCUCAAUAUGCAGCUCCAAAUAAACCCUGCCAUAUUCUGGACAGUGGUCAAAGUAAUCUACCCCCAGCUGCCACAGGCUGAGAGAGAGGAGAAGAAAAGUCAAGCGUUCCAAUCAUGCACGUCUUAAAUAAACACAACAUUAAAGUCACAAGGAAAACGUGAGUCUGGAUUAAUAAGAGUUAGCUCUGAUUAACUUAGCAUUCAGAUCUAAAAUGGCUUUUAGUUUGUAUGAAAUAUCAGUUGCCUAUUUUAACAACUCAGGAAUGCCUGCAUCUCACAAGUGCUUUGGUGCAACUUGCUCUGUACUGAAAAAGCUAUCCUAGUCAAUAUGCUUGAUGGGUUUUUAUAGAUAGUUUUUGUCUUUAGUUCAGGAAAGAAAAUGCAGUAGCGUUGUACAAUCCCUUACGGAUACCUUUGCUGAAAUCCUAACAGCCACUUCACUAAGUUUUGCCUUUUUACUUUAUUAACAUGAAGUUAUUUGCUUUGGUUGCCUUGAUGUUAGUCUAGCCUCUAAGCAGAGGAGAGUUGCUACCUGUAAUGGGAGAAGAGUCCUGAGGCAUACUCUAGUAGAAGGAAUUCACGCAUAUUUGAACCAAAACUGAAAAAAACAAAAACCAAAAACCACAGGGAUUAUUAUUUGCACCUGCUGAAUUAUUUCAAAAAUACUUUUAAUCUAUAUAGCAUAUUUUCUCAUGGGCUAUCUUAAUAAGCUUCAUACCUCAGGCCUAAGCAUGUACGGCAGCUUUCUCCUUGGGAAGGCCUGCCAAUUAUUUGCAGCACUUAGCAAAUAUAAUUUACAAGAAGCAGUCAGUGCUUUAAGCAACUUAAACUUCAAGAGAAUUCAGAUAGCAGCAUUCAAUUGCUCAAAUUUUUAAAAAACAUGAGUAUGAAAAUUCUUUUUAGAUAAGGUUCUCACCAUACCCAUAAUCACAAACAUUGAGGCCCUUGAUUACAUUUCAGCUGAAAUUAUAUAUUAAAAAAAAAAAAAAACUUUGCACUGAGGCGCUGUUGAAAUAGCAUGUCAAAUUCAUCAGGUCAGCAACUGCUUCUGCUCCUCAGAGCAUCUGGGCUGCUUGUAACUUCUUGGGCACAUGCAGCACCUUCAUUUUCCAUCUUCUGCAAAUGCCCAACAUGCCCUCUUUCAACCAAAAUACACAUGCUGUUUUGAUUAUUCUUGUUUCUGUGUGUCUGAAUAAUGAGUGCAAAUAAACACUUACUAGAGAUUGUGAGACUGCAGGAGUUUGCAGUGAUCCAGUAGGUCAGUCAGAUGAGCCACAAACCACCAGUUGCUCAGGGCAAUGCUAAAUUUGAAGCAAGCAAAAGAAAGAAAAAGCUAAGCCUACAACUGCCAAGGAAUAUGUCAGGUUUUCCACAGGUUUUUUUUUUUUUUUUUUUUUUUUUUUAAACUGUCACAGAAGCUAUAUUACUGUAUAAAGUCUGGCUGCAAUGUCCCAGACCUAAUAGAAUACUUUUAAUUGCUGCCUGCUUCACAUGUUCUUGUUGAGUCCUUUAAAAGGAUAUCUCAGUAGUCUGUACCCAUACUCUCUACCCCAAAUACACUGGGAUCCCAGUGACUUCUGGAGUGAAGUCACAGAGAAGAAAUACCAUAAAACUAGGGACUCAAAAACUUCAAAACCCAACCUGCAUUCCUUGAUCACUUGAUGCAUCUCAAAUUCAAAGGCUGCCAUUAAAAUGGUGUCUAGAGGCUCAGGGCUGCUUUCUCCACCCAGGAACAGGUCCAUACUAGACUGUGGAGUAAGAUAACAAGACAUGAUAAAUGAAAAAAGUGAGACACAAUAUAAAGGAAGACAUUUGUUUGGAUGUAAUAGUCUCAUUUAGGUUAUUUUGUGGGAAAGAAUAUGCCUUAGAGAUGGAAACAAAUUAACAGAAAAGAUACAAUAUUGUAGUGUAAGGAGGCUGGGAAAACAAUUUGCAGAAACAAGACUGGUAACAUUAGACACUCAAGAGACUCAGUCCUCAACAAUCUGCCCGUAGUAUCAGUCCCAGUCCACUUCCAAAUUCUAGGAAAAAUUUCAAGGGUAUAUAGUUACUGAAAGAUGUCAAUCCUCCCAAAGCUGUUCUGUUUUAAAUAGAGUAGCCCUUGUGCGUUAAACUGUGGAGAAUACAAAAAUAGUUCUAUUUCAUGCCUGUGCAUAGAAACGCAGUUCCAUUGGCUUCACAGUUGGAUGGGAGUACAGGAGUCGGGUAACCAGAAAGUGGUACCAGGUCGUCAUGAGUUCCUUUUUCUCCAGUAUGGCAUUCUCAUCGCCCAGCAGGAUCUAACGAGAGAAAAGCAUGAGAGUAACUCUGCAAAUACGGCAACGUAAGUAGCUGCAUCUUAGUUCUUCAGGGACAUUACUCCCAUUUUGUAAAGUUCAUAACGUAAUCAAAAUUAAACAGCAAAGGACAGAACUUCUUCUCAGAGCUCAAUUCCGUAACCAGCAUUAUGGUCUGGGACAGGAAGAGCAAAUAAUCUGCCAGGGUUGCAAAGUCUGUGGAAAAGCCAAGAACACAGUACAGAAGCCUUGGCCUGAAAUCUUCUGAUUUAAUGAGCAGAUUGUCUAGCAUAUCAAAGUUACUUAUGACUCCUGAAGUACAAAAGGAUGAACUCUGUACUUGUCUAGAGUCUCUUUCCCCGUCAUCCAAAACGCACCUUGCAGAUGGAUUCCAUGUGGGAAUUGGAAGCAAAAGUUCCAUCCUGUAGAUACCGCUGACAUUCUUCAUGCCAGUGCUGCCAUUUCAGCUCCAUCUCGGUCAGUGUCUGGGUGUUGCCAAGCUGAACACAAGAUGUAUGCACGUAAGAUAAAGGAAAUGUCAAGUCAAAUCGCAGUGAGCAUUUGGGCUCAAUUCACGCAGCCGUUCAUGCUAAAAAGCUAAACACUGGGCUGCCACCAGAAUUUUUCAUGUAGUUCUCCAGUUGCAUUUGAAAUGUUUUCCUUUACCCAUCUAAAUAAGGCAAAGUGACAGACUGUACAGGAACCCCCAAAACAACUACAGUGACGCAGCUGCAAUUUUUCCUCCUCAAGGAGAUCACUGCAACAGAGAAACGCUGUUGGUAAAGUCUUCAAAGAAUAUUCCCUGCAAUACUGUGAAAAAGUUUUCAACAGGAACUGUUUCAGACAAAUGGACAAUGUAUCCUGCUGCAAAAAUGAUCUUUCUGGCUAUGCUGGUUUUUCACCUAACAGUUCUUUUCUGUGUAGUUGGGUCUUCUGGGCAAUUCAAGAACGCAAAUAUUACUACUGAAAGGGGUAAUGACUGAGAUACUUUAAGCAUCAAUAUGCUGUGAUGUUACAGGAGCCACUGUGGAGAUGAAACAGACUGGUCUAACAGUGUCAUCCCUACAGAAUUGCAUGAAAAGCUGCUUUGUACAUACGCUGGGCACAGGCAUCUUCUUCAUCAAGUCAUCCAAAAUUCUGCACAUGUUCACUGAUGUGGGAUUGGCACUGGCUUCCUUAGAGAGUAAGUGCCGUGCUUCAUCCAUUCGGCCUUGCAGCACAAAGAUAUCCACCUGCAAAAACCACCCGUGCGUGAGCACUGCACUGUGCAAGCUACAAAAUACCCAGGUGGAGCACCAGCGGGGAAUUUUAACUUGUGAUUUAUUCGAGUUAAGUGGAGUUUAAAUGCUUAAACUUUAGGCUCUGUUAAUUCAAAUACAAGUCUUGACCUCUGUGGAUCUCAAAUGAAAUGAUCACGUUAGAAAUGAAGGGCAGCAUGAUCUUCACAAUGGUUUCAUCUUAAAAUUAUAUAUGCAGAUAGUAGCAGUAUCCUACAUAUCAGUUUGAGAUGUGGGAUCACUGUCGAGUGGGGAGGAGGAAGGCAAAAAAGAAAAAGAUGAAUUCUCUUCAUAUAAGAAGUUUAUAGAUGACCAUACUCACCACAUUCCAAAAGAGCUCAUGUUUUGAUGGAUUUUCACUGCUCAGAACUUCACGAACCAUGUUGUCCACAUCACAGACAUGAAGUCGAACCCAGUCAAGGAGGCGAAGCAGGAGGGGACCAGCUUUAUGCAGAGAAGAUAUCAUUCUGUUACUUCCCAAUUAUGUUGCUUGUUAUUUUAUACAAUUCCAACCUUAAUGGUUUGACAACCAUUAGAUGAGACUUACUAAUCAGAUUUCUAUCUGCCAUACUCAUAUUACAAAGGGACAGAGAUCCUUAAGUAGUCAGGCCAUGGAAGCAUCAGAUGGCUGAGAAAAUAACAUGUGGGAAAUUUUAGACAGAAGAGGAAAACUCAGUCUGUAAUAGCUUCCUCCAUGAUGUAGAAGGACACUUAUCUAAGAAACCCCAACUUCAGGACAUAGUUGAGUGACUCAGAUCAUAGAUCUUGGAAUGCCAAAAGAAGCAUACAGUGUUUUUCUUCAUUUCAUUUACCAUCCUUCAUUAUUAACUGGAUAUGAGGCACUAGGUAAUCUGGCACUAGGUAAUUAACUUUUCUUCAAAUUAAUAAUCUACAUUUGUGAACCUCUCUUCUGAAUUCUGGGACUGAACAGAUAGCAUGUUUGUUUGCCUGCUCUGAUCAUUUCCUUCUUUAAAAUGCUGGUAUAAGCAAACUGAAUUCAACGACAGCAUCCUAAAGGUAAAGGAGUUGGACCAGAGAAUGUGUAAAUGUUACUUGGCAUCAUCUUAAACAGUUGAUACUUAAAAAUGUUUUUAUGCUUAAAAGUCAAAUAAAUUUACAACAAAUGUUGA
Dromaius novaehollandiae (emu) is the source of this 5585-nucleotide long non-coding RNA. RefSeq lists it as uncharacterized. Lineage: Eukaryota; Metazoa; Chordata; Aves; Casuariiformes; Dromaiidae. The transcript has 2 exons. The record is from RefSeq and is a predicted model, not a curated record.